Molecule: ribosomal RNA, 626 nt
Filed under: Acinetobacter junii
Lineage: Bacteria; Pseudomonadati; Pseudomonadota; Gammaproteobacteria; Moraxellales; Moraxellaceae
Description: bacterial SSU rRNA
Rfam family: Bacterial small subunit ribosomal RNA
Source: RNAcentral
GGUGAGCUAGAGUAUGGGAGAGGAUGGUAGAAUUCCAGGUGUAGCGGUGAAAUGCGUAGAGAUCUGGAGGAAUACCGAUGGCGAAGGCAGCCAUCUGGCCUAAUACUGACGCUGAGGUACGAAAGCAUGGGGAGCAAACAGGAUUAGAUACCCUGGUAGUCCAUGCCGUAAACGAUGUCUACUAGCCGUUGGGGCCUUUGAGGCUUUAGUGGCGCAGCUAACGCGAUAAGUAGACCGCCUGGGGAGUACGGUCGCAAGACUAAAACUCAAAUGAAUUGACGGGGGCCCGCACAAGCGGUGGAGCAUGUGGUUUAAUUCGAUGCAACGCGAAGAACCUUACCUGGCCUUGACAUACUAGAAACUUUCCAGAGAUGGAUUGGUGCCUUCGGGAAUCUAGAUACAGGUGCUGCAUGGCUGUCGUCAGCUCGUGUCGUGAGAUGUUGGGUUAAGUCCCGCAACGAGCGCAACCCUUUUCCUUACUUGCCAGCAUUUCGGAUGGGAACUUUAAGGAUACUGCCAGUGACAAACUGGAGGAAGGCGGGGACGACGUCAAGUCAUCAUGGCCCUUACGGCCAGGGCUACACACGUGCUACAAUGGUCGGUACAAAGGGUUGCUACACAGCGAU